Molecule: ribosomal RNA, 350 nt
Filed under: Entomophthora ferdinandii
Lineage: Eukaryota; Fungi; Entomophthoromycota; Entomophthoromycetes; Entomophthorales; Entomophthoraceae
Description: partial large subunit ribosomal RNA
Rfam family: Eukaryotic large subunit ribosomal RNA
Source: RNAcentral
UUUGUGAAUUGUAGCAUUAAAGGAAAUUAGUCUCACAGCAAUCGCUAGUUAAGUAUUCUGGAAUGGAUCGUCAAGGAGGGUGAAAUUCCCGUAUACACUAGAUAGAAAGCUGCAAAGAACUUUUAUCCUACGAGUCGUGUUGCUUGUUAAUGCAGCAUUAAUUGGGAGGUAAAUUCCUUCUAAAGCUAAAUAUAAGAGAGAGACCGAUAGCAAACAAGUACCGUGAGGGAAAGAUGAAAGAGAACCCUGAAAAGGGGACUCAAAAGAAUGUGAAAUUGUCAAAAGGUAAGCGCUAAGAAUUGUUCGGAAUCUGAAUUUCAACUUUUAUCAGGGGAAACUCUGUAGUUAAA